ACAUCAUGUUAAGACCCCAGUUCCCAUACGAUCAACGAAGUUAAGCAACGUCGAGCCCAGUCAGUACCUAGAUGAGUGACCAUUUGGGAAUAUAUGGUGCUGUAAG
Acanthosepion pharaonis is the source of this 106-nucleotide non-coding RNA. The record is from the annotation of a GenBank genome assembly. NCBI's taxonomy places the organism in Eukaryota, Metazoa, Mollusca, Cephalopoda, Sepiida, Sepiidae.